GAUGAACGCUGGCGGCGUGCCUAAUACAUGCAAGUCGAGCAAAGCGGGGACGGGUGAGUAACACGUGGAUAACCUCCUAUAAGACUGGGAUAACUUCGUGAAACCGGAGCUAAACCGGAUACUUAUACAUGGUUCUGGGCUGGAUUAGCUAGUUGGUAAGGUAACGGCUUACCAAGGCAACGAUGCAUAGCCGACCUGAGAGGAUGACCGGCCACACUGGAACUGAGACACGGUCCAGACUCCUACGGGAGGCAGCAGUAGGGAAUCUUCCGCAAUGGGCGAAAGCCUGACAGAGCAACGCCGCGUGAGUGAUGAAGGUCUUCGGAUUGUAAAACUCUGUUAUCAGGGAAGCGGUACCUAAUCAGAAAGCAACGGCUAACUACGUGCCAGCAGCCGCGGUAAUAC
This 405-nucleotide ribosomal RNA is filed under the name uncultured bacterium. Its description in RNAcentral is "partial 16S ribosomal RNA". It matches the Rfam family "Bacterial small subunit ribosomal RNA", at positions 28 to 526 of the family's 1533-position model. The record is from RNAcentral.